This is a long non-coding RNA of Acanthochromis polyacanthus (spiny chromis), 1708 nucleotides long. RefSeq lists it as uncharacterized. The record is from RefSeq and is a predicted model, not a curated record. The transcript is spliced from 2 exons. Lineage: Eukaryota; Metazoa; Chordata; Actinopteri; Pomacentridae.
UGAUUGCGAGGCAGGCAGUAGAGCCAAUCAGAGGAGAGCAUCGCUGUCUAAGUCCCGCCUACAGCCUAAGCUCUUCCUGUGGCGGUACAUUUAUAUUUUCAUACACUGUACACAUACUGCAUGUCAUAUUCAGGACCUUAGCUAGGGAUUUUUAGAACUACUGAGGUCAAAUCCACUUCACUCCACCUAUUCCUCUGAGAAAAAAAUUACUUGUCACUAAAUUCGAUCAUAUUAAUGUGUACUGCCAGGAAUUAGAUCCAUUUCUGGUGGGAGUCAUGCGGACUGCUUAGUUUCUUCAUUUUGUCAUCAUAACUAUUACAAGGUGGUUUCAAACAGAAGCAAAAAGUUACAUUUGUAUGUUCAAGUACAACAGCCAAAGUUCUAAAAAAAAGAAAAAAAAAGACAUGAUCUCACUUUUCUAAACAGUGGUGACAGCCCUGAUUGUAGUAAUGCAAUAAUAAUAUAUCUUCAUUUGUGUAGCACUUAUCAAAAGAAAGUUACAACAUGCUUCUCACAGCAGAAAAAGAUCACAUAAAGUAAAAAAUAGUAAACUAAAAGUUGAAUUAAAUCAAGGAAUGUACAAAAAAGUAUACAACCAAGAUAUAAGAUGACAUAAAUAAGAUGCCAUAAAUACAAGCACUAAACAAGCCACAAUAAAAUCAGAAACAGCAGAACUUAUCAACAGAAUAACCAGUCAGAUAGAAGCAAGCAACGCAGAGCGAACAAAUUAAGUUUUAAGUUUUGAUUUAAAAGAAGCCACUGAUUCAGCCUGACUUAUUUCCUCGGGCAUUGCAGGCUCUGCUCACAAACAGGGUAGUACUCAGAAAAACCAGGGCACCAGUCCAUGUAAUAGCUUUUAAGUAAUUAAAAGAACUCUAGUAUCAGUUCUAAAACUUACUGCAGUCCUCUACCAGAGAACUUGUGUCUACUUUCCAGCUUACCACGUGACAUACUUGUAGAAAAAUAUUUUACUUGUCUCUUUGUGAAAUAUCACAAAAUAAAAAGUAAGAAUGUCCAUCCACCCAUUCUCUAUAUUCUCUCUCUAUCGUGGGGGGUGCUGGAGCCUAUCUCAGCUGACUCAGGCAAAGGCAGGGGACACCCUGGACAGGUCACCAGUCUGUCGCAGGGCUACAUAUACAGACAAACAAUCACACUCACACCUACGUGCAAUUUAGAGUAAUCAAUUAACCUCCACAUAUUUUUGGACUGUGGGAGGAAGCCGGAGUACCCAGAGAAAACCCACGCAUGCACAGGGAGAACAUGCAAACUGCAUGCAGAAAGAUCCCAGGCCCACUCCAGGAUUUGAACCGGUGAUCUUCUUGCUGCAAGGCGAAAGUGCUAAACACUACCCCAACUCAGUUCUCUGCUGGGAAACCUUGACUCUUGAAACUGAACGCUACUAAGACGUACCACCGAUUUAAACAUAGCUGCAGACAAAGCAGCCACAACAUACAUGAACUAAAAGAUCUGCUGCCAACAUCUCAGUGAUAGAUACCACUGGACACCCCAGACGUCAAGUGCCUACACCACGACGGACAGCACAAAGAGAACCUCCAUAAUAACUGCACGGGUCCCAUAAAUGUACAGGUGAACAUUCUUUUAACAAAACCAUAUUAAUCCUCUUUUACACCUGUAAGCUGUACAGAGCAAACACAACUCAAUACUUCUAAAAAGAAUUAUGAAAUAAAAGAAAACAAGUGGACCUAAA